GCAUCAGUGGUUUAGUGGUAAAAUCCAUCGUUGCCAUCAAAUCCAGAUGUCGAUGGGCCCCGCGUUCGAUUCGCGGCUGAUGCA
Molecule: non-coding RNA, 84 nt
Organism: Taxawa tesnikishii (nom. ined.)
Lineage: Eukaryota; Fungi; Ascomycota; Dothideomycetes; Dothideales
Source: the annotation of a GenBank genome assembly